CUACGGGGCGCUCCAGUGGGGAAUAUUGCACAAUGGGCGCAAGCCUGAUGCAGCCAUGCCGCGUGUAUGAAGAAGGCCUUCGGGUUGUAAAGUACUUUCAGCGGGGAGGAAGGGAGUAAAGUUAAUACCUUUGCUCAUUGACGUUACCCGCAGAAGAAGCACCGGCUAACUCCGUGCCAGCAGCCGCGGUAAUACGGAGGGUGCAAGCGUUAAUCGGAAUUACUGGGCGUAAAGCGCACGCAGGCGGUUUGUUAAGUCGGAUGUGAAAUCCCCGGGCUCAACCUGGGAACUGCAUCUGAUACUGGCAAGCUUGAGUCUCGUAGAGGGGGGUAGAAUUCCAGGUGGAGCGGUGAAAUGCGUAGAGAUCUGGAGGAAUACCGGUGGCGAAGGCGGCCCCCUGGACGAAGACUGACGCUCAGGUGCGAAAGCGUGGGGAGCAAACAGGAUUAGAUACCCUAGUAGUC
This 464-nucleotide ribosomal RNA is filed under the name uncultured bacterium. RNAcentral's name for it is "partial 16S ribosomal RNA". It matches the Rfam family "Bacterial small subunit ribosomal RNA", at positions 339 to 795 of the family's 1533-position model. The record is from RNAcentral.